RNAcentral lists this transfer RNA (73 nucleotides) under Dipodomys ordii (Ord's kangaroo rat). It matches the Rfam family "tRNA". Rfam says of the family: Transfer RNA (tRNA) molecules are approximately 80 nucleotides in length. Their secondary structure includes four short double-helical elements and three loops (D, anti-codon, and T loops). The record is from Rfam by way of RNAcentral. Lineage: Eukaryota; Metazoa; Chordata; Mammalia; Rodentia; Heteromyidae.
GGAGAUGUGGCUCAAUUGGUAGAACAUCUGCAUAGUGAGCACAGGAUCUUAAGUUCAAACCUCAGUAUCACUA